Molecule: long non-coding RNA, 1216 nt
Filed under: Ovis aries (sheep)
Lineage: Eukaryota; Metazoa; Chordata; Mammalia; Artiodactyla; Bovidae
Description: lncRNA (ENSOARG00000025697.1)
Source: RNAcentral
UUUGAUCAACAUCGUCCGAUGACUGCCCCUCUCCACCCUAGCUGCUGACGAUCACCCUCUACUCUCUGCUUCUUGGAGUUUGAUUUCUUUAGAUUCCACAUAUGAGUGAUGUCAUGUGGUAUUUGUCUUCAGGUGCUUGACUUGCUUCACUCAGCAUAAUGUCCUCCAGCUUCCUCUAUGUUGGUGUAAGUGGCAGGAUUUCCUUCUUUCUUUUAAGGCUGAAUGCAUGUAUGCAUGCUUAAUUGCUCAGAGGUGUCUGACUCUUUUUGACCCUAUGGACUGUAGUCUGCCAGGCUCCUCUGUCUAUGGGAUUCUCCAGGGAAGAACUGGAGUGGGUUGCCAUUUCCUCCUUCAUGGGAUCUUCCCGACCCAGGGCAAACUCAUGUCUUCCGCAUUGCAGGCAGAUUCUUUACCACUGAUCUGUUGGGGAAGCCCUACAGCUGAAUACUCUUCACUUAUCAACACCUCUCUCUCUCUCUCUAGUUCAUCCAUCCAUCCGUCUCUACUGAGCUUCACAUUUUCUCCAGCCAGUCCUCUGAGCAUGGAUGUUUUCUUACCAUUGGGCAUCAGUUCCAUCACCAGCAUUGGCUGCAACACCAGGAGGGCACUGAACUCACUGAGAUCCUCAGAGCCACACAGAUGAACAGGGAGAGGAUGGAGAGGUAGACCUGGAGCCGCUUCCCACCAAACCGCUUCCUCAGGUAUUCCGGCAUAGUCGUCACCUGCAAGACAGACACCAGCAGGGAUUCAUCUUCAGGGCCCCAUACGUUCAGUUGAUCCAACAUGGAUCAAGCCUCUGUGGACAGGUAACUGCGUGUGGCAGUCACCCUUGAGGGGGUAUCACCCCCAAAGUGGGGAGACAUGAGUGAGAAGGCACAGCCCCUGGGGAAACUGUGAGUCUGGGAUGAACAUGGGCCUUGGACUCAGCAUUCUUGGGAUCUGUUCCCAGAUUGUGACCUUUGGCAAAUGACAAUCUCUCUGAACCUUUGUUUUCUCACCUGUAAUGUGGGGCUUUAAUAUGGAAGUAAGUGUAAAAUACCUACCACAACACCAAAUGAAAGGUGAUGCUCAAGAGGUAAUAUUUAUUAUUUUCACUGACAAUGUUGCAGUCUAGCAAAAACAACAUAAAUGAUCGACUGCAAUUAUGGUUACAUGAUAAAUAGAUAAUUGAAUAAAUUGCUAAUAUACUUCUGUAUGUACAUUCAUAUGAUUAUCU